Molecule: ribosomal RNA, 240 nt
Filed under: uncultured Sphingomonas sp.
Lineage: Bacteria; Pseudomonadati; Pseudomonadota; Alphaproteobacteria; Sphingomonadales; Sphingomonadaceae
Description: partial 16S ribosomal RNA
Rfam family: Bacterial small subunit ribosomal RNA
Source: RNAcentral
CGCACGGGUGCGUAACGCGUGGGAAUCUGCCCCUGGGUUCGGAAUAACAGCGAGAAAUUGCUGCUAAUACCGGAUGAUGACGAAAGUCCAAAGAUUUAUCGCCCAGGGAUGAGCCCGCGUAGGAUUAGCUAGUUGGUGAGGUAAGAGCUCACCAAGGCGACGAUCCUUAGCUGGUCUGAGAGGAUGAUCAGCCACACUGGGACUGAGACACGGCCCAGACUCCUACGGGAGGCAGCAGCG